AGCGGGAUGGGAUAGCUAGGAGAUUCCGCCGGGCUCAUAACCCGGAGAUCGGUAGUUCGAAUCUACCUCCCGCUACCA
This 78-nucleotide transfer RNA is filed under the name Halobacterium salinarum. It matches the Rfam family "tRNA". Rfam says of the family: Transfer RNA (tRNA) molecules are approximately 80 nucleotides in length. Their secondary structure includes four short double-helical elements and three loops (D, anti-codon, and T loops). Lineage: Archaea; Methanobacteriati; Methanobacteriota; Halobacteria; Halobacteriales; Halobacteriaceae. The record is from RNAcentral.